This 584-nucleotide ribosomal RNA is filed under the name Triticum aestivum (bread wheat). RNAcentral's name for it is "partial small subunit ribosomal RNA". The record is from RNAcentral. Lineage: Eukaryota; Viridiplantae; Streptophyta; Magnoliopsida; Poales; Poaceae.
GCAAACCUUUGACCAAAAGGAUAAAACAGCGAUUUUGGCCCAACGGGGGGCGACCUUGCGUUCCAGCCCACCGGAGCGCCGCAGGCUCCUUCCCGAUGAUAGACGCACUUGCGCCGGCGGAGCACCCUACUGGUGACGGCGAGGGCUGCAGCGUGCGGACCGACAAGUCUCAGCCAGCCUUUCUCGGGCGACCUAACUUCGCUUACCUGAGCAAACGGGAGCCCAGAUUCGUCUCUACAACUCUAUACCCGAUCUAAUUUCCCUAUGUAGAAUCGGCAUCGCAAUUCCACUUUUAAGUUCGCUUCAUAGGGAUGCUGCAUACUGUUAUCUGCUCUUCAUAUGAAUCGCCGAUUCGGUAGAAUAAUGGGAGAAAAUGUGGUCCUUUAUGCUUGGACUGCCGGGGAAACAGCUUUGCGGUUAUCCCGAGUUCCUUGUCAGCUCUGUAGUAUUAGUAAUUUCAUUUUGCUGGUGUACUUGAAUUGCCAACUGAGAUUGCAAUGUUAGCAAUUACUGUUCUUCCAAGAGCAUAUAGGUUUCGUUUGAAUUAUUUUCUUAAUUUUAUCAGAGUCCUUUGCCAUUUGCCA